Non-coding RNA from Populus trichocarpa (black cottonwood), 155 nucleotides. The record is from Rfam. NCBI's taxonomy places the organism in Eukaryota, Viridiplantae, Streptophyta, Magnoliopsida, Malpighiales, Salicaceae.
UCUAGAACUCGAGAUAUGGGCUGAACACUGAACAGUGUCUGGGCUGCAGGACAGAUUCGGACUUCUUCUUUGUUGCUACAAUUUGGACUUAAAAAUGGCCUUGUUAGAUCUUGGACUCCCAUGAAAGUUGUAGGCCUAUGUCUUACCUUUCCAUC